This 305-nucleotide ribosomal RNA is filed under the name uncultured bacterium. RNAcentral describes it as "bacterial SSU rRNA". It matches the Rfam family "Bacterial small subunit ribosomal RNA", at positions 333 to 653 of the family's 1533-position model. The record is from RNAcentral.
GAUGUCCUACGGGACGCAGCAGUGGGGAAUAUUGCACAAUGGGGGGAACCCUGAUGCAGCGACGCCGCGUGAGUGAAGAAGUAUUUCGGUACGUAAAGCUCUAUCAGCAGGGAAGAAAAAAUGACGGUACCUGACUAAGAAGCCCCGGCUAACUACGUGCCAGCAGCCGCGGUAAUACGUAGGGGGCAAGCGUUAUCCGGAUUUACUGGGUGUAAAGGGAGCGUAGACGGCAUUGCAAGUCUGAUGUGAAAGAUUGGGGCUCAACCCCAGGCCUGCAUUGGAAACUGUAAAGCUGGAGUACAGGG